RNAcentral lists this ribosomal RNA (446 nucleotides) under uncultured bacterium. RNAcentral describes it as "SSU rRNA". It matches the Rfam family "Bacterial small subunit ribosomal RNA", at positions 26 to 518 of the family's 1533-position model. The record is from RNAcentral.
AGAACGAACGCUGGCGGCAUGCCUAACACAUGCAAGUCGAACGAGACCUUCGGGUCUAGUGGCGCACGGGUGCGUAACGCGUGGGAAUCUGCCCCUUGGUUCGGAAUAACAGUUAGAAAUGACUGCUAAUACCGGAUGACGACGUAAGUCCAAAGAUUUAUCGCCGAGGGAUGAGCCCGCGUAGGAUUAGCUAGUUGGUGAGGUAAUGGCUCACCAAGGCGACGAUCCUUAGCUGGUCUGAGAGGAUGAUCAGCCACGCUGGGACUGAGACACGGCCCAGACUCCUACGGGAGGCAGCAGUGGGGAAUAUUGGACAAUGGGCGAAAGCCUGAUCCAGCAAUGCCGCGUGAGUGAUGAAGGCCUUAGGGUUGUAAAGCUCUUUUACCAGGGAUGAUAAUGACAGUACCUGGAGAAUAAGCUCCGGCUAACUCCGCGCCAGCAGCCGC